CCUACGCUGGCUGCAGUGGGGAAUAUUGGGCAAUGGGCGCAAGCCUGACCCAGCAACGCCGCGUGAAGGAAGAAGGCUUUCGGGUUGUAAACUUCUUUUGUCAGGGAAGAGUAGAAGACGGUACCUGACGAAUAAGCCACGGCUAACUACGUGCCAGCAGCCGCGGUAAUACGUAGGUGGCAAGCGUUGUCCGGAUUUACUGGGUUUAAAGGGUGCGUAGGCGGAAUGCCAAGUCAGCGGUAAAAUCGCGGGGCUCAACCUCGCUCCGCCGUUGAAACUGGCGUUCUUGAGUGGGCGAGAAGUAUGCGGAAGGCGUGGUGUAGCGGUGAAAUGCAUAGAUAUCACGCAGAACUCCGAUUGCGAAGGCAGCAUACCGGCGCCCAACUGACGCUGAAGCACGAAAGCGUGGGUAUCGAACAGGAGUAGAUACCCUUGUAGUC
This 440-nucleotide ribosomal RNA is filed under the name uncultured bacterium. RNAcentral's name for it is "partial 16S ribosomal RNA". It matches the Rfam family "Bacterial small subunit ribosomal RNA", at positions 338 to 795 of the family's 1533-position model. The record is from RNAcentral.